Molecule: long non-coding RNA, 488 nt
Organism: Oncorhynchus keta (chum salmon)
Lineage: Eukaryota; Metazoa; Chordata; Actinopteri; Salmoniformes; Salmonidae
Exons: 3
Source: RefSeq, a predicted model, not a curated record
GUGAAAUGCUGAAUACAACAGGUGUAGUAGACCUCACAGUGAAAUGCUGAAUACAACAGGUGUAGUAGACCUCACAGUGAAAUGCUGAAUACAACAGGUGUAGUAGACCUUACAGUGAAAUGCUGAAUACAACAGGUGUAGUAGACCUUACAGUGAAAUGCUGAAUACAACAGGUAUAGUAGACCUUACAGUGAAAUGCUGAAUACAACAGGUGUAGUAGACCUUACAGUGAAAUGCUGAAUACAACAGGUGUAGUAGACCUUACAGUGAAAUGCUGAAUACAACAGGUAUAGUAGACCUUACAGUGAAAUGCUGAAUACAACAGGUGUAGUAGACCUUACAGUGAAAUGCUGAAUACAACAGGUGUAGUAGACCUUACAGUGAAAUGCUGAAUACAACAGGUAUAGUAGACCUUACAGUGAAAUGCUGAAUACAACAGGUGUAGUAGACCUUACAGUGAAAUGCUGAAUACAACAGGUGUAGUAGAC